CCCAAGUUGUGAUCCCCCCGCCCCGCCCCUCCCCUCCCCUCCAAAAGGUGAUUUUAGUAAUUACCAAGUAUAAGUUAUUGUCCAGCAGUAUCUCGACCCAAUAUUAGGCAUCUUGCCCGGUGGAAAAGCUACAUCUAGUUCCGAACCAGCGAUUUGGUUGAUAUCCAGUGUUGUUUUUCAAGCGUGGAAGUCACCUAAUUAGAAGUUGUCAAAAUUUUAUAGCGAUCAGAGCUAACCACAAGGUAUUCUUUUCUCUCAGAUUUGCAAUUACAUAUGAAUUUGUUUAAAUUGUAAUGAUCCUCUCAUUUUUAGGAAGUAAGGGUAAAAUUGAAAUUACAUUUUCGAAUUUAGUGGUUUCAACGAGACCCUGCUGUCUACUAGCCAUCAAUUCUUCUGGGCAUAUCCCCUUGUACUCAAAUCUUGUGAGUGAUCCACAUUUUAUACGGGUAUACUUUGUUUAAGAUACAAUUUAACUGCAAAUUUUACUUAUGUAUCAAGUUCGGAGUUCGGUGCAUUUAAUAGUUUUAAUUUAGUGUCUACUAUCUACCUUAUGUGAUUCUGAUAUGUAUGUAUGAUACUUGCACAAAAUUUUCUUCAAAUUUGGUAUUCUAUCUUGAUGAGCUUUUGCCUAUGCAAGUUACAAGUAUCAUUGUUUUACGCAAAUUAAGCUAUUAAUACUUUCUAAUCGAUAGCUUCAGGAUCACAAAUCUCUUAGAUUUUAGUACCUUCAAAAGGAAACUUUUUCUCUGGGGUUAAGCAUCAAUCUCAUGAUUAAUUACGUCCAAAUAUAUGAGAUUGGUCACCAUUUGCAAACAUUACCUAAUAUAAUCCUUAACUUCUUUUAUUUGUACAAGUCGUUUAAGUCGACUGGAAUUAAAAUUUUGAAGGAUUGAACAAAUCUACAAGUUUCAAGCUCGACCUCUCAAAUCCGUAUCUUACAGAUCUAGAGGAAAAAGUCUAUGUUUCUCCACCACAUCUUAUCUCAUUUUCAAGCAGUUCAACACAUGCCUCUGAUUUACAUAUCCAUAUGUUAGGGUUUACAUCUGAUAAGUGCAGUUUAAUUCAGUUAUUUGUGGUUGUAGUUGUUUAGGUUUCUAGUGCCUAUGUUAUUUAUAUAUAUUCUAGAAAUUGUUGUAGGUGUAUUACUUUUUGCAGUUGAAAGGAUGGAGAUGACGAAGUGUGUGUGUGUGUGUGUGUUUUAUUAUUUUUUUCUUUUUGCAAUCGAAGCCAUGUAAUUGCUACGUCAUUAUGUGACUUUUAAAUCACUGCCGUGUCAGUCGCCUGACAUGUUGGUUUGGGCAUUGAAAAUUCAACUGACUCUUGACCGGUUUGUGCAAAUUAAAGAAGUCGGUGACUGGACUGAGUCAUAUUUGUGAAAAGUGAUGAAAUUGGUAGAAUCGUAUGAAAUGAAUACCAGAUAACUCAGGGUAUUAUUAUGGGUAGGGGGUGUGAUUAUUGAUUGCCAUGACCAUUAUUCAUGAGGGAGGAGAUAUGAGUCUUGCCACUAGGCAAUCAACAAAACCUUGAAUAUGCAAUUUUUUUAGUCCAACUAAUUUCAAAAACCCAGUCAUGUUAUAUGCUGAUAUCAUUACUCUCUCAACCUUCAGUGCGGUGAUUGUUGCUUGAAAUUCACUUGGUUUCUUUAAUUGACUUGUACUCUGCUAUGUUAUGUUCUGUAAUAAUUUAUAAUUUUACUUAAAGAUACAGCUUCAACUGCAGAACUAAUUAUGACAUUAUAGUAUUAGCAACAAGCCUUUUGUUUGAUUGGCAGUUAUUUGGGGUAAGUGCAUGAUUAGGUUGCCAUGUCUUGUUACAGGUUAUUAGGGUACUUAAGAUGGAUCCUGAAAUAAAUCUGCAAGAUCUUCACCCAAAAAAGAGAUGGAGGAGUGAGUUGUAUGCUCAAUUUGUUCUUGCCUGGCAGAACAAUAAUCAGUUACCUGCUGAAGGCACUCCAGAAAAAAAUGUUAAUAGCUUGGAUGACAAUCAUCAGCUGGCUGUUUAUACUCCUGCUGACGCUUCUGCUUCUGAUGGAACUGUUACUCAACCUCCACAGAACCAGGCCGGUCGGAUUGCGCCAUCUGUGGAAGCUUACACUGUCCAGUGUUCACUCUGUUAUAAGUGGAGGCUUAUUCCUUCGAAGGAGAAAUUCGAGGAAAUCCGUGAACACUUAAUAGAGCAGCCUUUUGUAUGCAGAGCACUUUAUCAGUGGCGUCCUCAGAUAUCUUGCACUGUUAAAACUGAUCUUCAACCAGAUGGUAGCAAGUUAUGGGCAAUUGAAACGCCCAACAUUCCUCGACCCCCUCCUAGGUGGAAGCGCAUUUUGAAGAUCAGGGCUUCCCAAGGAACCAGAUUUGCAGAUGUGUACGUAUUACUCUACAUUUUUUUUUUAAAUAUGGUUUAGUCUUAAUAUCUGCUGCUUCGUUUCAGUUUAAAAGUUGAGCUUUUCUUUACUUUCAGGUAUUAUUAUACACCAUCGAACAAGAGACUGCGGUCCACAACUGAAGUUCAAAGGUACUCUUGUCUCUUAGGUUUGUUUUCAGUUGAGCAGAGCGUUCAAAAACUUGCAAAUCUUUAUGUUUGGUUUAAAUGAUAAUAUUGAUGAAGUGGUCCAAAAAUUAUAGAGUAAAGUGACAUAAGGUCCUUCUACCAUAAAACAUGGCCGGCGCACCAACUUGACCUCUUCUCUGUAGUGUUUUCGAUAUUUUUCAAACAUUAUUUAGAUUCUGUUUGUAUUUGGGCAUAUUUUUAAGAAUGUAAAUGUUUGCUCUAUAUUAACCUAUCGUCAUGCAAAUUUCGCAAACUAUUGUUAUGCCAAUGGGCGCUCAGAUAUAGAUGGUUUGCUUCCCUUCAUGUUAUAGUACAAUAUGUUUAAACAGUUGAACAACGUUGUGUUCUUGGCUUGAGUCCAGCACUGACAGUGCCUAUUUGCAAUAUUCCAUAUGGGAUUACCAUUCACAGGUAUUUGCGUGAACAUCCCAAUGAGGCGGAUGGAGUUGACUUGGGCCAAUUUUCUUUUAAAAUCCCACUGUUGGUGAAGGAGAAGUCCUUGGAAGAACAUACCACCCGUGUUUUACAAGACGGUCGCAAACGCCGCAGGAUGCCUUGAAAUGGAGGAAGAAAGGAGUGAUCUGUAUCCAAUCUGGAUAUGAAUAUUGAAAUGGGCUACAUAGAGUUGGUACUUUAGUCGUGUGACAUUUGAGUGAUUGUUGAAGACUUGGCAACUGCUUUUGAUGUAAUGACAUGUAAACUGUUAGUCUCCUUGUGAAUUCAAGAGUAGAGCCAUUUUCAUUUUAUCCAAUCGACUUUCUAGUUAGUAAUUACUAUAAUUUUGUAUAAUAGAAUAUACAGAUAUAAAACCAUUUCUUUACAUAAAAUGCUAUGGGCGUCAUGUGUUUUGUGAGAGGAGUUGUUGGGGCUUGUUUCAUAUUUACCAUGACAUUUCAGCCCAAUUUUAAGAGACUUUAUUGGUGGGUUUGGUUUAACAAAUGAUGAGUAUCAGUAUUGGUUUGCUCCCUUGUGUAUUAGACCAUAUAUAUGGUGCAUUUUGCAUAGGUCAAAAGUCAAGUUUAGCUUUUUUCUCAAAAGGCUGGCUGGCAUGAAGCUUGAUCUUAGUGAAAGUAUGAUCAAGCAGCUUACCCUUCUCGGAAUUGGCCACCAUAAUUGGUUCUACCCAAUUGGAAAACUGUUUGGGAACCCAAGGCAGCUUGUUCAAGAGAAGGGGUUUCCAGAACUCCUCGUGAUUGGUGCUUUUUAGAUCAUUACCUCCUGGAAGUCAGAGUGCGGAUACAUUUCUAGCACUGAAAGACGUGGGACGACAUCAUAUUGCAGGUAUACUACUAAUGCUGGAAAUUGUUAUUGGUUUUUUUUUCUUGCAGUACUAUUAAUACUUGUAGUUUAGCCGUAGUAAGUUAUCUUGUUCUAAAGGAUCAGCACAAGGGAAAAUUUCUGGUCUAACAAACAUAUCAUCACAUCCUAGUUGCAUCAUUAACGCAGCAUCUGUUGGAGUCACAAUGCCUCCAGUAGCAGCAUGCACAACAGGAAACCUUCCCCAUUUGCCUAGUCUGGGCUUACUAUGCAUUAGAAUCUCCAAUUUCCUUGAAAAGUGUGAAAAACUUUAUCUUCAUCCAUAUCGAUAAAAAUUAAAACCUAUGUUACUUGAACUCAUCUCCGUCCUAUUUUUGGACAUGGGCAUCGGGAAUGGUAACGAUGCACUAAUAAACAAGUAGGGUAAAAAUUAUUCAUUAAAAUCAUAUAACCAAAAAACUCACAUCUAACAUGUAUUAUGAGAGACUUUGCGAUUUAGGUGUUUUAAGGUUUUCUCAUCCCAUCUUCUCAUCCUUCUCUUUUGCAUCCUAAUUAGCACUUAGCAGCAAUGUCGAUGCUGUUGUUUUAUGCAGUUAUGGAUUAAAGUGUGAUAAUUUUUGUAAAUACAAGCCUGAUUAUUUCCCUAUUAUAUGUGAAGUUAUUAUAACAAAUGCUUUCAAAUUAAAAACCAUAUAGUUUUCUGGUUAAAAAAUGAUUUACAUUUAUAAAUAUAUCAUCUGAGCCUAGAGAACAGAGGGAAGUUAUUUUUAUUAUAGGUUAAAGUGACUAGUGUUCACCAAAUCUGGUAGAUGAAGAAUGAAAAUAUAGACUUUGCAGACUUGUAAUCUAGUACAAUUGAUGGAAUUGUGAUACUUUCGAUGAAUUUACACUUGUUAAUCAGGAUUAGUCUGUCAUGUGUAUGUCAGUAUGUGGCUGUUUAGGUUUGCUUAUUUGGAAAAGACAAGCACAAUUCUCCCGCAUAAAAAGUACCUAGUUGUGUUGUGUACAUGUGCCUGUUAGGUUUAGCUUAAUUUGAUAAAAUUUGCACUUGUCUUUUAUCAAAUUAAUAUAUUUUUGACUAUUUUUUUUUACUCCAAAUUCAUUUGUUUUGAUAAAUAAAUUUUAUAAUGGAGUAUCAAUCAUCAGGUGUAGAAUAUCUUAUUGGUAUCAUAGUAUGUAAGCAAUUAAAAAGUGCUUCUACUUAUUUACACAAACGGUUCAAGAAAAGCAGAAGCCAGAAGCAACUCCGACUUCUGCUAACCAAACAGGCACAUAGUAAAGUUCUGUUAAGACCACUUUUUAUCGGAGACCUCGGAGAACAUGCAUGUUUUGCAAAUAAAACAUUGCAAAACUUAUAAUUUUGCAAAUCAUAUUCAAUGAAAAUCAUUUUUUAAUUAAAAAUCUUGAAAAAUCAUACUCCUUCAGUUCCACCCAAAUGAUUAUAUUUGGGUGGGGCAUAGAGAUUAAGAAAAUAUGUAAAGUAAGAGUAUGAAAGAAAGAAAAGUGAGGAUAGUGAUGAAACCAUUUGAUAUUUAAUACAUAAAGUAAGGAUAGUGGUGAAAAGUAGUGGGGGUAGUUGAUUUUUAUAUUAUAAAAUUUUACUAUACUUAAUAAAUUUUGAAAUAUAGAAUGGAUGGGACAUCCCAAAAAGGAAAGUGUAAAUAAAUGGUUGAGACGGAGGGAGUAUAUGUAUUGCGAGGAAGACAUUGCAAGACUGGACAUUGCAAAACAUAGGUUGUGCAAAAGAAUGUCUGGCUUGCAAAACGUACAUUAUUUUUUGGAUUUUCAAUGAAAUAGCACUAUUCAAAUAACAUACUUUAUAAAAUAUAAUGUUGUUAAUGUUUUGGUGCAGAACAUGCAUCGUUUCCGAGGAUUCUGAUAAAAAGUGAUUUUGGAGGUCUCCGAUAAAAAGUGGUCUUCAUAGAACUUUACUCUCUAUAUCACAAACCUCCUUAAAAUACAAUAUAAAAACUAAAAAAAAUCUUAAAAUUAUAUUUAAAUAUAGCAAAAAUUGUAUUUAAAUCGUUAGGAGAUGUAGAAUAAUUAUAGUGAAGUCAGAUUGACAUGAAAAUUCAAAUUAAAAAUGGAGGGGAUUAUGUGGGAUCAUGUGUGGGAGGAUGAAUUUUAAUUGUGUGUGGUGACUUCUAGAAGGCUUGUAGUUUGUACAGUAAUUUGGUUAACUACACAACUAAAAACCUUCUUAAAAUAAAAACUAAAAUAAAAAAAAUUCUGAAUCACAUCGAAAUAGCACAUAUGAUAUGCAACUGAAAGUUGGGAGAUGAAUAAAAAUACCAUUAAGUCAGAUUUCUAAAAAACUCACCGUUGACGAGAAAAAUCAAAAUAGAAACGGAUGAGAUUAUGUGGGUUAUGUGUGGGAGAGCGUAUUUUAAUUGUGUGGAGCGUAUUUUAAUUGUGUGGUGACUUCUAGGGGCCAUUAGAUUAGAUUCGUCCAAGGGCUUGGAUUAAAUUUAUUUAAAGGCUUAGAAUAAGUUUGUACAAUAAUUUGGUUUGUAUUUGAGCAAUUGCUUAUAUAUAUAUAUUUGGUUUUUAAUGUUCUUGGUCACCAAGAGGACUGAAAUUCAGAAAGAAAAAAAAAACGAACUGGGCCUGAAUUGUGAAAGCCCUGAACCAGGACCGAAAUUUGGGUUCGCUUCUCGGUGAAUUGGGAAAUUCUAAUAUGGUCAAUUGAUGGAAUGAUUAUUCUUCUGUUUCCGAACAGGAUUUUUUUAUCGAUACAACCCUUCUGUUUCAACAACUCCCCAAGUUGUGAUCCCCCCGCCCCGCCCCUCCCCUCCCCUCCAAAAGGUGAUUUUAGUAAUUACCAAGUAUAAGUUAUUGUCCAGCAGUAUCUCGACCCAAUAUUAGGCAUCUUGCCCGGUGGAAAAGCUACAUCUAGUUCCGAACCAGCGAUUUGGUUGAUAUCCAGUGUUGUUUUUCAAGCGUGGAAGUCACCUAAUUAGAAGUUGUCAAAAUUUUAUAGCGAUCAGAGCUAACCACAAGGUAUUCUUUUCUCUCAGAUUUGCAAUUACAUAUGAAUUUGUUUAAAUUGUAAUGAUCCUCUCAUUUUUAG
RNAcentral lists this long non-coding RNA (6874 nucleotides) under Daucus carota (carrot). Its description in RNAcentral is "long non-coding RNA (DCAR_LNC003992)". Lineage: Eukaryota; Viridiplantae; Streptophyta; Magnoliopsida; Apiales; Apiaceae. The record is from RNAcentral.